GGCGGACGGGUGAGGAAUACAUCGGAAUCUACUCUGUCGUGGGGGAUAACGUAGGGAAACUUACGCUAAUACCGCAUACGACCUACGGGUGAAAGCAGGGGAUCUUCGGACCUUGCGCGAUUGAAUGAGCCGAUGUCGGAUUAGCUAGUUGGCGGGGUAAAGGCCCACCAAGGCGACGAUCCGUAGCUGGUCUGAGAGGAUGAUCAGCCACACUGGAACUGAGACACGGUCCAGACUCCUACGGGAGGCAGCAGCA
Molecule: ribosomal RNA, 256 nt
Filed under: uncultured Stenotrophomonas sp.
Lineage: Bacteria; Pseudomonadati; Pseudomonadota; Gammaproteobacteria; Lysobacterales; Lysobacteraceae
Description: partial 16S ribosomal RNA
Rfam family: Bacterial small subunit ribosomal RNA
Source: RNAcentral